AGCAAUAGCCUGGCGACCAAGUGCUG
This 26-nucleotide non-coding RNA is filed under the name Mus musculus (house mouse). Lineage: Eukaryota; Metazoa; Chordata; Mammalia; Rodentia; Muridae. The record is from RNAcentral.